AUACGACCAUACCCACUGGAGAACUCGGGAUCCCGUCCGCUCUCCCAUAGAUAAGCCAGUGAGGGCCGGAUUAGUAGUUGGGUCGGUGACGACCAGCGAAUACUUGGUGUUGUAUG
Molecule: ribosomal RNA, 116 nt
Filed under: Colletotrichum higginsianum
Lineage: Eukaryota; Fungi; Ascomycota; Sordariomycetes; Glomerellales; Glomerellaceae
Source: RNAcentral